GGAGCAGCAAAAGGAGCCUCUGAGGGUGGCGCGCUGGGAUUAAAUCCAACAACAUGUGCAGGCUUCAUCCAAAAAGUCCUUCUGAUUCUUGGAUAAGGAUUCAUGCAGGUGAGCUGGAAGGUGAGAGGAUAAGGAAGACUACUUUUUCUGCAUUGGUUUUGACUUCUUGAUGACCUUUCUGUGGAUGAACCAUAAAGAUACAAACAGAAACAGAUUAAAAAACCAGUGUGAUCAAGAGAAUGAAGAAAGGAAUCCCCAGGAUUAUAUAAACAGCCUGGAAAUCAACCACUUAGAGUGAAGCAGAUCAGAAGGCUGGGAAAUGAAGGUGGAAUUGAUAGAUUAUGUAAAGUGUCUGAAUAUACUGGGAGACUUAUACAACCAUGGGAAAAUUUGGAGAUAAACUGAGAUGAGUACAUAAAAAAAAAAAGAAAGAAAGAAAACAGGUAGAUUGAAAAAGAGACUUAGUUCCAGGGAUAGCAAAAAGUUUUGCAAGAAAUAAAAAUAACCAAAGUAUACCCUGUAGCUCAUGGCAGUGCUGUUGCUAGUAUAAUAAUGCUGAUUAAUGAUCCAACCAGAAUCACAACAGAGACACAUUGGGAGGAUGGGAGAGCGGAAGUGUGUGCAAGUGAGAGAGAGCCCAGUCCUCACUUCUCCUAGUGUGAAUUCAAUAGAUAAUGCCUAACACUAAAAAAAUCAAGGAGCCAGAGCACCACGGUAUUUAGACAUAUGGAGGAAAACAAAUACCAAAACAAUCAGUUACGAAAGUGGAAAGUGUUGCUGGGGAAUGGGAAAGGGGGUCCGGAGGAGUGCAAUUUUUUGUAACAAGCUUUGUAGAACUAUUAAUUAGUUAAUUUAAUAAGCCUUAUAUUAUGCUUUCCAUUAGUUAAUUCAAUCAGUUAAUUUAAUGUGCCUUAUAUAUUACUUUGCAUCACACACUGUUCUAAGUGCUUUCUUUACAAAUGUUAACCAAUUUAAUCCUCAUAACAACCUUAUGCUAUACGUAAUAUUAUCAUCCCCAUUCUACAGAUUAAAAAACUGAGAUGCAGAGCAGUUAAAUGAUUGAUCAAGCUUACACAGCUAGUAGGUUGUGGAGCUAGGAUUAAAACCCAGGUGGUCUGGCCCCAGAGUUGCCUCUCUAUUUGAUUCUUAAAGGAUGAAUAUGUAUUACUUUAAUUAAAAUAAAAACAAAAAUUUAACAAGUGUGAUUUUUAAGAGGCUUUAUUCCUAACUUUGAGUAUAGACAGACAAAGUUCUAAAAUGUAAUAAGUUAUUUUUUUCUAUAAGCAAUUAACUGGAGCAGAAUGCUAAACACACAUUAGGUAAUCAUUAAUUCCCUCAUCAAGAAUUUGCUGAAUCCCGGGAAUUCCCCCGUGGUCCGGUGCUUAGGACUCCGCACUCUCACUGCCAGGGGCCCAGGUUCAAUGCCUGGUCGGGGAACUAAGAUCCCGCAAGCUGCAUGACAUGGCCAAAAAAAAAGAAUUUGCUGAAUCCCUACUAUGUGCCAGCCACAGGAACAGGUGCAGAAGACUCAAUGCUUAAUGAUAAAAGGCCCUUGGGAGACUUACAGUACAGAGAGGGAGACAGACAACUCUAUGACUACAGUAGGACAUAUUUGGUGGAGUACAAAAUAGGCAGUCACUAGGGCAGUCUGGGGAGAUUUCCUGGAAGUGACAACAUCUGAGUGGGCUUUAAGGGUCAGAUAGGAUCUAGCCAGAUGAAAAAGUGGCCAAAGUAUGUUCAAGGAAGAGGAAAGAGCAGUGAAUACUUGUUAAAAUGAACUGAAUUGGUUGUUUCCUCUUCCAUUCUAAAUUCUAAAAUGGAUGUCAAAAAUAAUAGUAUUAAAAGCCCCUCUUAACCUGGAGAUUCCAUAGCCUAAACCAAUGGGGUGCAAACCAUGCUGCUAUACUCCAAUAUCAGUGACUGUUUCUCUAAUCAAAGGAAAAAAUGAAUUGAUAAAACUUUCUUCAUAUUAAGUUUACCUCUUUUUUAAUCUUUAUUUAUUUAUUAUUUAUUUAUUUUGGCUGCGCCGGGUCUUAGUUGUGGCAUGCGAACUUAUUACUUGCAGCAUGCAAACUUAUUAGUUGCAGCAUGCAAACCCUUAGUUGCGGCAUGCAUGUGGGAUCUAGUGCCCCGACCAGGGAUCAAACCCCAGCCCCCUGCACUGGGAGCGUGGAGUCUUACGCACUGGACCACCAGGGAAGUCCCAAGUUUACCUCUUAAGCCUUGUUAGGCUGUAGCCCAGGCCCUGGAGUCUGACUACUGGUUUCAAAUCCUGGCUCCACUGCUUACCAAAUGUGAGCACCUGAGCCAGUCACUAACCUCUCUAAGCCUCAGUUUCCUCAGUUGUAAAAUGAGGAUAACAACAUCCCAUAUCUCACAGAAGUGCUGUGAGAAUUAAAUAAUACACGUAUCAUGCUUAGGAGAGAAUAAGGACCUGGCAAACACAACUGUGUUGCGUACUCAAGGUGAUAAAAACAAAUGAGUAAGUAAAAGUUAUAAUUAAGAGAAAAGUUAGUUGUGAUUUCUUAACAUAUUAUGUGUUAUGUUAUUUUAAGAUAACUUGGCAGCUAUCUAAAGAUUCAUAUUUUAUCUUAGUCAAUAGUCCUUUAUUACCAAAAUAAUUUGGUAAUAUUUUUAUAGGCUUCUGCAAAGAGCACCAUGACUUCUAGUUGUCCUGUCCCCGAAAGACAGGAGAAUCAAGGCUCUGAACUCAGGGAAAUGCCGAGUAUGUCAGCAUCUGAUCCUUUACUCUUCAGUGCAAGUGCACUUGAAGCUGGCUUCGUCCUCUAUUCUAGCGCAGAAACUAUGCGAAACACCUGCUGGAUGCUUUCUCAAAAAUGGGUCUGCCCCAAACCUCCCAGUCCAGAAUGUUCCAAUGUAGUUCCUUGCACUGCUUUGGGCUCAGCAAGUUUUCAUGGUAUGGAAGGUCUGAGAGUUUUGAGGAGAAGUGCUGAACCCUGAUCUUCUGUGUGUGUGUCAGGGAAAGCUUCCUGGAGGAGUCAUUAUUUGCACUGACUUUGAAGAAGCAGGAGGAGCUGGCUGGGGAAGGAGGCCAGGGGUAGGAGGGGAAAUUUUCCUGCAGAGGAAGAAGCUUGUGCCAAGCAUGGCCUGGAGGCUGGAAGAACUUGGCCUCUUAAUGCAGCUGCAGGGGCUCAAUGUGGCUUGAAAGGUGUUUGGGAGUGGUGGGUGAAGACAGAGGAGAGAGGGGAGGUGGGCAGGGCCACCUCAUGAAGGCCUCGAGUCUAAGAGUUUGGAUUUUAUCCCUAGGAUCCUUAGGGGUUGAGAAGAAACUGCAGGUUUUAAGCAAAGGAGUAGCCUGAUGAGAUAUGGAUUUUUGAAAGAGACCCAUGGGGCCUUAACUCAAGUGAGUCUUAGUUGCCUCCUUUGAAAAACAAGAAAAAUAGGGGGACUUUCCUAUUUUUGGUUAAGAAUCUGCCUUCCAAUGCAGGGAACGUGGGUUCGACCCCUGGUCGGGGAACUAGGAUCCCACAUGCCACGGGGCAACUAAGCCCACGUGCCACAACUACUGACCCCGUGCACCACAACUACAGGGCCCACGCGCUCUGGAGCCCACCUGGACAACUAGAGAGCCCACGCGCCACAAUGAAAGAUCCCGUGUGCCACAACUAAGACCCCACACAGCCAAAUAUAAAUAAAUAUU
RNAcentral lists this long non-coding RNA (3661 nucleotides) under Phocoena sinus (vaquita). RNAcentral's name for it is "lncRNA (ENSPSNG00000010636.1)". The record is from RNAcentral. Lineage: Eukaryota; Metazoa; Chordata; Mammalia; Artiodactyla; Phocoenidae.